AUCCUUUUGUGGCUCCUCACUACAAUGACUGGACUGUUACACCACUGCGUGAGACUGCCUCCUCCAAACCUUGUUACAGUGUUGACGAAUUGCCUGUCUGCUG
Cavia porcellus (domestic guinea pig) is the source of this 103-nucleotide small nucleolar RNA. It matches the Rfam family "Small nucleolar RNA U13". The record is from Rfam. NCBI's taxonomy places the organism in Eukaryota, Metazoa, Chordata, Mammalia, Rodentia, Caviidae.